RNAcentral lists this long non-coding RNA (790 nucleotides) under Homo sapiens (human). RNAcentral's name for it is "non-protein coding lnc-TENM1-6:1". Lineage: Eukaryota; Metazoa; Chordata; Mammalia; Primates; Hominidae. The record is from RNAcentral.
GCAAACCAUUUAUAGCCACCCUCCCCCUUUGAGUACAAGAGAAAACAUACAACAUACUGUAGGUUUAUUUUUAUUCAAAAAGUUACUGUCUCAAGACAUAAAUACAAAUCAGAAAACAGUACAAUUAGGACAAUAGAAUGUGGAGGACAACAGGUUAGAGUAAUAUAUAAAACAUUUUUAGCUGGUUGAAAACAAAGCUGUAAGAACUGCUUUCACAAAGAAGUACUCCUUUCAAGAGUGAGAAAAAAAAUCAACUUAGGUUUAAAAUCAUAUAUACAGUCCUCUCAGCAGUUCUAGUUAAUGCAGUGGUGUGUAAAACAACAUAGGCAAUACUUUUGCACAUAACAAUAUUUGUUGAUGGAAAAUCUGUUAGACAAGUCUGGAUUCAUUUGUUAUUAACCAUGACUUAAUAAAAUAAUUGUAUCAUGAUCUUUUUAGCUAACCUAUGGUUUUUGGCUACCACAGCCCAAUGCUUGAUUUCUGACUAAAAACUGAAAGCCUUUUGGUAUUCACCCAUCUGAAGAUAUUCUUGUAUUGCAAGCAUAUUAAGGCAUGGAAUGAUUAAAAUAAUAUACCUCAAGAACUGAGAGACGACUGACAAUAGAUAGAUACACAUGUAAUAUAAGUUAAUAUUUUGUUUUAAACGAUGUCUAGCUGCCUAAGCCUCGCAAAAUGAGUUGAUGUCAAAAUGGCAAGUAGCCACUUUCUGUUUUAAACUAAUUUAUUUGUGAAAGGACAUAAAAUGAAGUUUAAAGCUUAGCUUUCAAAGAAUAUUAUGGGUUAUGAAUUC